Molecule: ribosomal RNA, 2000 nt
Filed under: feces metagenome
Description: bacterial LSU rRNA
Rfam family: Bacterial large subunit ribosomal RNA
Source: RNAcentral
ACAAGUUAUUAAGAGCAACGGGCGGAUGCCUUGGCGCUAGAAGGCGAUGAAAGACGUGAUAAGCUGCGAUAAGCGUCGGUGAGGAGCUAAAUAUCCUUUGACCCGGCGAUUUCUGAAUGGGGAAACCCAAUAGGAGUAAUGUCCUAUUACCGUAACAUGAAUCAAUAGUGUUACAGGAGCUAACCGAGGGAAGUGAAACAUCUCAGUACCUCGAGGAAGAGAAAUCAAACGAGACUCCCAAAGUAGCGGCGAGCGAAAUGGGAAUAGGCCAAACCAUUAGGAUUCGUCUUAGUGGGGUUGUAGGGCUAACAUACGUGAUCUUGGAGUAAAUAGAAGAAGCUGGCUGGAAAGCCACACCAUAGAAGGUGAAAGUCCUGUAUUUGAAGUUGAAAAGAGCACAGUUAGUACCUGAGUACUGCGGGGCACGUGAAACCCCGUGGGAAUCUGGGAGGACCAUCUUCCAAGCCUAAGUACUACCUAGCGACCGAUAGUGAACCAGUACCGUGAGGGAAAGGUGAAAAGAACUCCUGUAAGGAGAGUGAAAUAGAAUCUGAAACCUGUUGCUUACAAGCUCUGGGAGCAAUUUUACGAUUGUGACCAGGUGCCUUUUGCAUAAUGAGUCAGCGAGUUAAUCUGUACUGCGAGGUUAAGCGUAAGCGGAGCCGUAGGGAAACCGAGUCUGAUAAGGGCGAAUGAGUAGUGCGGAUUAGACCCGAAACCGGGUGAUCUAUCCAUGAGCAGGUUGAAGCAAGGGUAAAGCCUUGUGGAGGACCGAACCGUCAACGGCUGAAAACGUUCCGGAUGACUUGUGGAUAGGGGUGAAAGGCCAAUCAAACCCGGUGAUAGCUGGUUCUCCCCGAAAUAUAUUGAGGUAUAGCCUCAGGGAUUGUCUAACGGAGGUAAAGCACUGAAAAGGCUAGGGGUCCUACCAGAUUACCAAACCUUAUCAAACUCUGAAUACCGUCUAGAUGUACCCUGGGAGUCAGACAGCGGGUGCUAAGGUCCGUUGUCGAGAGGGUAAGAGCCCAGAUCAACAGCUAAGGUCUCCAAAUACAUACUCAGUGGUAAAGGUGGUGGAGUUGUUUAGACAGCCAGGACGUUGGCUUAGAAGCAGCCAUCGUUUAAAGAAAGCGUAAUAGCUCACUGGUCUAAUGACUCUGCGCCGAAAAUGUAACGGGGCUAAGUAUGUUACCGAAGCUUUGAAUUGCACUUUAUGUGUUCUGGUAGGGGAGCGUUCUCUAAUAGGCUGAAGGUGUAUCGUAAGGUAUGCUGGACGAAAGAGAAGUGAUUAUGCUGACAUGAGUAACGAUAAAAUAGGUGAAAAACCUAUUCGCCGAAAACCCAAGGUUUUCCGGGUAAAGUUAAUCUUCCCGGAGUUAGUCGGCCCCUAAGGUGAGAGCGAAAGCUGUAACUGAUGGGAAACGGGUUAAUAUUCCCGUACUUGUAUGAUUGUGCGAUGGAGGGACGCAGGAAGAUAGACUAUCCAGCUGUUGGAUGCUGGUGCAAGUGUGUAGGUGCAGGAGAUAGGCAAAUCCGUCUCCCGAGACUGAGACACGAGUCCGUGAACGUAAGUUCUGAAGUAGUUGAGUCUAUGCUGCCAAGAAAAUCUUCUAAGUUUAGGUCAUACAAACCGUACUGCAAACCAACUCAGGUGGGUGGGAUGAAUAAUCCAAGGCGCUCGAGAGAAUUCUGGCCAAGGAACUCGGCAAAAUAACCCCGUAACUUCGGAAGAAGGGGUGCUCCUUGCUGUGAUAUAUUUACUUAUAAAGCAGCGAAGAGCCGCAGUGAAUUGGUGGUGGCGACUGUUUACUAAAAACAUAGGUCUGUGCGAAGUCGCAAGACGACGUAUACGGACUGACGCCUGCCCGGUGCUGGAAGGUUAAAAGGAGGGGUUAGCGCAAGCGAAGCUCCGAAUUGAAGCCCCAGUAAACGGCGGCCGUAACUAUAACGGUCCUAAGGUAGCGAAAUUCCUUGUCGGGUAAGUUCCGACCUGCACGAAU